CCAAAACCAUUUUAAAUCUAGUAAAAAUGUAUCUUAAAAGAAAUUUAUAACACAAAUGUAUUAUACCAAACACUAUUUUUAAUAUAGAAUAAAAUAAUAGAAAUUAAAAGACUUAAUAGAACCACAAAAUAAACAUAUAAGUAUAUUUUGUCCGUUCGAUUAGAUUUGGUUGGGUUGAAACUUACUAUCGGAACUGAAAAUUUGUACAGUUGAGUAAACCGGCCAUAAGACGUGAUGACGUUUCAUCUCUCCCAAGUGAUGUCCUUAUUUUCAAAAGUUAAGUCGAAAAAGUUGCUAUUUUGAAUCCCUUCUUGUCAGAUUUUCACAAAUAUUGUAUCAAAUAAAAGGCAAUUACUUAAGGAAAAAAAGUGAAAAAAAUAUCGAAAUGUAUCAAUUUUUAAAAUUAUAAAUUUUUGGAGGAUUUGCGCCAUUUACAGAAAAUAAGGGAAACUUUUUCUUCUAGUCUUCAACUAGAUACGAUGUGUGAUCUUGUGACGUAUCAUUGAAAGAAAUCGGUUCAGUCAGAGCUGAGAAGAAGUGGCAACAUACACAGAAAAAAAACCAUAUAAUUGUAAAAUUAAUACCUUCUCAGCUUGGCAUAGAAGCUACAACUGAGAAAUUAGAAGUUCACCCAAAAUUAGUGUGUAUCGAUGCAGUGUAAAUAAAGGUGAUAUCAUAAAAAAAAUUGUCGAUUACUUUACUCAUUAAGGUAUUAUAGUUGGCAAAAUUAUUACCAACAAUCAGCAAAAUACACUACACUUCCACAAAACCAUUGACUUAACAAUUAACCCUUGAUUGCGAAAUUAACUAUUGAUUUGUAUCAAAGUUUAAAGAAGCUAAAAAACAUCAUGGAAAAAUUAAAACCUUCUCAGCUUCUCAUCGAAGCUAAAAAUCUAUUUCAGAUUUUGUGAGUAUCCCAAUAUUAUGUUUUAAGAAUUUUAUUACUAAAAUAAAAUUUUCACCAAAGAUUAAAUUUGUUCUACUUUCAGUAUUUAAUUUAUAUAUUUCUAAAUUUCGAUUUUAUUAAAGUUCUUCUGCUAAAAAUAUUGAUAAAUUUAACUAAACAGUUUUUAAAGUUUAUAAUAAGGUAAUUUUUUUUUUAUUUAUUGUAAUAACUAAAAAAAUGUAA
Long non-coding RNA from Daktulosphaira vitifoliae (grape phylloxera), 1129 nucleotides. RefSeq lists it as uncharacterized. Lineage: Eukaryota; Metazoa; Arthropoda; Insecta; Hemiptera; Phylloxeridae. The transcript is spliced from 3 exons. The record is from RefSeq and is a predicted model, not a curated record.